AGCAGCCGCGGUAAUUCCAGCUCCAAUAGCGUAUAUUAAAGUUGUUGCAGUUAAAAAGCUCGUAGUUGAAUUUCGGGAUCGAAUUGUUGGUCGUGCUUCGGUACGCACUGGCAUUAUCGGUUUCUACCUUCUGAAGAACCGCGAUGUCAUUAAUUUGGUGUCGUGGGGAAUCAGGACUGUUACUUUGAAAAAAUUAGAGUGUUUAAAGCAGGCUUACGCUUGAAUACAUUAGCAUGGAAUAAUGAAAUAGGACGUUUGAUUCUAUUUUGUUGGUUUCUAGGAUCGACGUAAUGAUUAAUAGGGAUAGUUGGGGGCAUUAGUAUUCAAUUGUCAGAGGUGAAAUUCUUGGAUUUAUUGAAGACUAACUACUGCGAAAGCAUUUGCCAAGGAUGUUUUCAUUAAUCAAGAACGAAAGUUAGGGGAUCGAAGACGAUCAGAUACCGUCGUAGUCUUAACCAUAAACUAUGCCGACUAGGGAUCGGAUGAUGUUAAUUUUAUAAUGACUC
RNAcentral lists this ribosomal RNA (506 nucleotides) under uncultured Glomeromycotina. Its description in RNAcentral is "SSU rRNA". It matches the Rfam family "Eukaryotic small subunit ribosomal RNA", at positions 569 to 1077 of the family's 1831-position model. Lineage: Eukaryota; Fungi; Glomeromycota. The record is from RNAcentral.